RNAcentral lists this long non-coding RNA (227 nucleotides) under Elaeis guineensis (African oil palm). Its description in RNAcentral is "long non-coding RNA (EGUI_LNC020094)". The record is from RNAcentral. Lineage: Eukaryota; Viridiplantae; Streptophyta; Magnoliopsida; Arecales; Arecaceae.
GUGGAUGCCCGAGAUUUCUAAUGUGGCCGCGCAAGCAUCCGGCCUCUGGUGAUAUCUAUAUGGAGAUAUCCUAAUUAAAGUGCUGAGGCCAUCAGAGUGCUAGUACCUUAUAGACCUCACUCAUUUUGCUUUGGAUCUGGACUCCUUCAACACUUUGAAGAACAGAGUUGCAGUGCGAUCUCAUCGUGCUGAUCUGAUCAGAUCAAAUCAAGACCACUAAGAAGAGA